UACAGAGGGUGCAAGCGUUAAUCGGAAUUACUGGGCGUAAAGCGCAUGUAGGUGGUUUGGCAAGUUGGAUGUGAAAGCCCUGGGCUUAACCUGGGAACUGCAUUCAAAACUAUCAAGCUAGAGUAGAGUAGAGGGAAGUGGAAUUUCCGGUGUAGCGGUGAAAUGCGUAGAUAUCGGAAGGAACACCAGUGGCGAAGGCGGCUUCCUGGACUCAUACUGACACUGAGGUGCGAAAGCGUGGGGAGCAAACAG
This 252-nucleotide ribosomal RNA is filed under the name uncultured bacterium. RNAcentral's name for it is "partial 16S ribosomal RNA". It matches the Rfam family "Bacterial small subunit ribosomal RNA", at positions 524 to 775 of the family's 1533-position model. The record is from RNAcentral.